This 1077-nucleotide unclassified non-coding RNA is filed under the name Monomorium pharaonis (pharaoh ant). RNAcentral describes it as "cytochrome b5, transcript variant X1". The record is from RNAcentral. Lineage: Eukaryota; Metazoa; Arthropoda; Insecta; Hymenoptera; Formicidae.
CGCCCUCGGAGCGACGCGGCAGUGCUUUUGCAGACCAAUUGUCCGGAAUAACUAAAAAAAGUCGUACAAGUUUCCGUUCGUUCUUCUAAAUUAUCCGGGCGCAAACAAAGUCACAAACCAGCGAUUGCCAAUAACAUACCAACAGAAAACUGCUGGCGUGUGCUAGCGUCGAUCGGGAACGUUGAUUACAUAGUAACUGAGGUCACCGAAGUUAACCGAAGCCCAUUCUUCACCAGCCAUCAGUUAAUGUCAGAGACGUACAUCAGUGACGAAAGCGGGAGAAGAAGUGCUGAGUCAAUAGAACAGCUACACAUUAUCUAUCGGCGCUGAGGAACGGAAGGACUGAUCUCGAGCACCAUCAACAAAACGAACUUGAAGAAAACGUAGAAACCCCGACCAACGACAUGGCUACUAAGGAUGUUAAGGAUGACACCACUCCUGCCGCUUCUUAUACCGGCAAUAUGUUUACGCGGGCGGAGGUAGCAAAGCAUGCCGAAACUUCCAAGGACACAUGGAUCAUCAUUCACAAUAAUGUCUACAAUGUCAGCCAGUUCUUAAAUGAGCAUCCAGGUGGUGAGGAGGUACUCCUUGAGCAGAAUGGACGCGACGCUACUGAACCUUUCGAAGAUAUUGGACAUUCAACAGAUGCUAGGCAAAUGAUGGAAAAGUAUAAAAUUGGUGAACUGGUAGAAGAAGAAAGAACGAAAGAUACCGGAAAGGCUAGAGAUUGGUCCAAUAAAGAUCAGGCGGAUAAUUCUAGAAAGAAGGAUUCCCGCGAAACAAAGAAGUAAACCCUGUCCUUAAAUCCUUAAACGAGAAAGAAACGGCUGCAAGAGGGCAAAAUCGAAUAAAUUAAUCGAAAAGGCUGCGUCAACUGCGCCACUAAUGAGAAGAAAAAGAGAAGGCUACACUGAAAAUAAUACUUUAUAUAAAAGUACAAUGAAUUUAUAUAUAAUUAAAUUUACUUUUUUUGAUAAUUUAUUUUUUGAUAAGUGUAAUGUACCUUGAAAGAGCUGGUAAAUAAUAACUUGUGUAAGUUAUAAAGUUUAAAUUAAUAAAAAUAAUGUACAAACAGCA